Molecule: ribosomal RNA, 114 nt
Filed under: Candidatus Altimarinota bacterium
Lineage: Bacteria; Candidatus Altimarinota
Source: RNAcentral
CUUGGUGGUUCAAGAGGCAGGGGUACACCUGAUCCCAUCUCGAACUCAGAAGUUAAGCCUGCCAUCGCCGAUGUUACUGCAACUUGAUUGUGGGAAAGUAGGACGCCGCCAAGA